CGGCGCGUCGUCAUGGCAACCGACCGGCCCAUGUACGUCACUUCCUGACCUGCUGUGACGCAGAGACCGGAAGUGUGGGACGGGGGAGGCCUGGAACACUGUGAUGCACGCAGCUGGGAGUCAUGGAAGGGGGAUUCUAGCAGUGUAACUUCACCCACAGCAGCUGUCAGAAAGAAGCAGUCUUGGAAUGUUCACAGGCAUAAUAGUAUGUCAUUUGCUAAUUUCAGUAGAGAACCAGCUCAGCCUGAAUUUAGUGUCUCAGCAGCAGUCGACAAAGGGAUGUCCCUCUCCUCUAUUAUCAGCAGCAUUCAUGUGGGCGUCACCUCUGCAUAUUUGACAAGAAUGUAUUGUACAGCUUCCGUAUUACACCUGUAGGAAAUUAGAGGUUCAAGAUCACCAAUACCCAAAUCCAAAGUACAACAAUAAUACUGACCUCAGUUGCUAUGAUGCAUUCAUCUUUCUCAUCUGAUAUGACAUAUACAGACUGAUAUUUUGUGUCUUUAGUUGAGUAGUUUGAGUCUGGUCUUCUUCUUUCUGAAGAAUCACUGUGGGUAACAAAUAAAAGGCAUAUCAUUUCAGUACUUAAAACAAAUAAGAGAGGAAAAUAAACCAUUAAAAACUUUGCACAAAGUAGAGAUGUCAAGACAUUCACCUUUUUAAAUGUGAUGAGUGCAUGUCUUCUGAAUCUGAGUCAUUGGUGCUGCACUUGGCCUCACAUUUCCUACGUUCCUCCUUUGAAGUGUCCUCAUUCUUCAUCUCGUGGACUAAAUUGUAAUCCACGGUUGGGUAUCUGGGCUUGUAGCCAUUUUUAUCAUUAUUGCUUUCACUUAGGAAGUCCACUUUCUUAUUUGUGUUUUUAAUCUGACUGGUGCCUAUGAUGCUUACAGAAAUGUCCUUUUCACGAUGGCAGUUGGAAAGAUUAUUCAUGGUCUUGGUCUCACCAUGUGCAGGAAUAGGCAUGUGUCGUUUCUUCUGCACCUUGAGUCGUACAUAGACAACUACUGCAGCACAACCUAACAGCAGCAAAAACACCAGGAUAAUCCCAGCACACACUGCAAUCCAUGGAAACUGUCCUCCUUGUUUUUCUACGUAUUUACCAGUGGAAUCCACAAUACUGGGUUGUUCAGGCAAUAAGAACUGGCAAUUAAGUCCACCAUAGCCACGAGCACAUUCGCAGACAUAACGGUUGUUUCUCUCAUGACAUGUUGCCCCAUUGUGGCAUGGAUUGUGCUCACAUUUGCUGACAGGCAUGCUGCAAUUCUUCCCGGUGUACCCAGGAGGACAGGUGCAUAAAUAGUCAUUAAUCCCAUCCUGGCAUGUGCCACCAUUCUGGCAGGGAAAGGAAGAACAGUCAUCCAGGUUGUCAUCACAGUGCCUUCCAGAGAAGCCAUCUUGACACUGACAUAUAUAGGAAUUUCCAAGGUCUUCGCAGCGAGCUCCUGUUACACAAUCAAGCAGCCGAUUAGAGAAUGCAACUUGAGGUUUGAUAUAGUUGAAACCAGAAUAUGCAGCUGGGCAAAGGCAGCUGUAUCCACCAUCUGGGUUAUCAGAGCAUCUGCCUCCAUUGAAGCAUGGUCC
Molecule: long non-coding RNA, 1578 nt
Organism: Pseudophryne corroboree (corroboree frog)
Lineage: Eukaryota; Metazoa; Chordata; Amphibia; Anura; Myobatrachidae
Exons: 5
Source: RefSeq, a predicted model, not a curated record